CAGCCGCCGCGGUAAUACCGGCGGCCCGAGUGGCGGUCACUAUUAUUGGGCUUAAAGCGUCCGUAGCCGGGUUGGGAAGUCCUCCGGGAAAUCUGGCCGCUUAACGGUCAGAAUGCCGGAGGAUACUCCCAGCCUAGGGAGCGGGAGAGGCCGAGGGUAUUCCCGGAGUAGGGGGGAAAUCCUAUAAUCCCGGGAGGACCACCUGUGGCGAAGGCGCUCGGCUGGAACGCGUCCGACGGUGAGGGACGAAGGCCAGGGGAGCAAACCGGAUUAGAUACCCGGGUAGUCCUGGCUGUAAACGAUGCGGACUUUGUGUCGGACAAGCUAUGAGCUUGUCCGGUGCCGGAGGGAAACCGUUAAGUCCGCCGCCUGGGGAGUACGGCCGCAAGGCUGAAACUUAAGGAAUUGGCGGG
This 413-nucleotide ribosomal RNA is filed under the name uncultured microorganism. Its description in RNAcentral is "bacterial SSU rRNA". It matches the Rfam family "Archaeal small subunit ribosomal RNA", at positions 459 to 872 of the family's 1478-position model. The record is from RNAcentral.